GUGCCAGCCGCCGCGGUAAAACGUAGGAGGCGAGCGUUAUCCGGAUUUACUGGGUGUAAAGCGCGUGCAGGCGGCAGGAUAAGUGGAGCGUGAAAGCGCCCGGCUCAACCGGGCGAGGUCGUUCCAGACUGUCGUGCUAGAGGCAGGUAGAGGCGUGUGGAAUUCCGGGUGUAGUGGUGAAAUGCGUAGAGAUCCGGAGGAACACCAGUGGCGCAAGCGACACGCUGGGCCUGAACUGACGCUCAGACGCGAAAGCAUGGGUAGCGAACGGGAUUAGAAACCCCUGUAGUCC
RNAcentral lists this ribosomal RNA (292 nucleotides) under uncultured bacterium. RNAcentral describes it as "partial 16S ribosomal RNA". It matches the Rfam family "Bacterial small subunit ribosomal RNA", at positions 505 to 796 of the family's 1533-position model. The record is from RNAcentral.